Molecule: ribosomal RNA, 497 nt
Filed under: uncultured bacterium
Lineage: Bacteria
Description: partial 16S ribosomal RNA
Rfam family: Bacterial small subunit ribosomal RNA
Source: RNAcentral
GAUGAACGCUGGCGGCGUGCCUAAUACAUGCAAGUCGAGCGAACAGAUGUGGAGCUUGCUCCUCUGACGUUAGCGGCGGACGGGUGAGUAACACGUGGAUAACCUACCUAUAAGACUGGGAUAACUUCGGGAAACCGGAGCUAAUACCGGAUAAUAUAUUGAACCGCAUGGUUCAAUAGUGAAAGACGGUUUUGCUGUCACUUAUAGAUGGAUCCGCGCCGCAUUAGCUAGUUGGUAAGGUAACGGCUUACCAAGGCAACGAUGCGUAGCCGACCUGAGAGGGUGAUCGGCCACACUGGAACUGAGACACGGUCCAGACUCCUACGGGAGGCAGCAGUAGGGAAUCUUCCGCAAUGGGCGAAAGCCUGACGGAGCAACGCCGCGUGAGUGAUGAAGGUCUUCGGAUCGUAAAACUCUGUUAUUAGGGAAGAACAAAUGUGUAAGUAACUAUGCACGUCUUGACGGUACCUAAUCAGAAAGCCACGGCUAACUACGUG